UGACGUCAAAUCAUCAUGCCCUUACUGUUCUGGGCUACACACGUGCUACAAUGGCCGGUACAGACGGACGCAAAGCCGCGAGGUGGAGCAAAUCCUAAAAAGCCGGUACUCAGUUCGGAUUGCAGGCUGCAAUUCGACCUGCAUGAAGUCGGAAUCGCUAGUAAUCGCAGGUCAGCAUACUCGCGGUCGAAUACGUUCCCGGGCCUU
RNAcentral lists this ribosomal RNA (207 nucleotides) under uncultured Bacillus sp. Its description in RNAcentral is "partial 16S ribosomal RNA". It matches the Rfam family "Bacterial small subunit ribosomal RNA", at positions 1180 to 1382 of the family's 1533-position model. Lineage: Bacteria; Bacillati; Bacillota; Bacilli; Caryophanales; Bacillaceae. The record is from RNAcentral.